GAUGAAGAACGUAGCGAAAUGCGAUAAGUAAUGUGAAUUGCAGAAUUCAGUGAAUCAUCGAAUCUUUGAACGCACAUUGCGCCCCUUGGUAUUCCGAGGGGCAUGCCUGUUCGAGCGUCAUUAUAACCCCUCAAGCUCAGCUUGGUGUUGGGGCCUGCUGCACUGGCAGCCCUUAAAAUCAGUGGCGGCUCCAUCUGGCUCUAAGCGUAGUAAUUCUUCUCGCUAUGGAGUCCUGGUGGAUGCUUGCCAUCAACCCCCAAUUUUUCUAUGGUUGACCUCGGAUCAGGUAGGGAUACCCGCUGAACUUAAGCAUAUCAAUAAGCGGAGGA
This 329-nucleotide unclassified non-coding RNA is filed under the name soil metagenome. RNAcentral's name for it is "partial contains 5.8S ribosomal RNA, internal transcribed spacer 2, and large subunit ribosomal RNA". The stretch from base 1 to 120 matches the Rfam family "5.8S ribosomal RNA", at positions 35 to 154 of the family's 154-position model. The record is from RNAcentral.